RNAcentral lists this long non-coding RNA (283 nucleotides) under Setaria viridis. RNAcentral describes it as "long non-coding RNA (SVIR_LNC008994)". The record is from RNAcentral. Lineage: Eukaryota; Viridiplantae; Streptophyta; Magnoliopsida; Poales; Poaceae.
GGAGAGUCAUCGCAUUAUCUCUGACUACUACUGUGUAAGUAAUAUGUUGCAAACAAUUCUGAGGAGAAAAAGAAAAAAUGUGGAAAAAGAAAGAAAUAAAAAGGAAACAGAAAGAAAGAAAUGAGAAAAAGAAAAAGAGAAAUAAAGUACUUCUCGGUUCUUUGAGAUUCAUAAAGAUCCCAAGUGCUUUCAAGAUUUAGGAUUAUUCCAUACGUAUUUGUGUCUCACGAUCACUCUUUGCCCUUGCACAUGUCCACUAUAUAAAUGUGUGUGUUCAUUCUCU